Molecule: unclassified non-coding RNA, 1353 nt
Filed under: Mus musculus (house mouse)
Lineage: Eukaryota; Metazoa; Chordata; Mammalia; Rodentia; Muridae
Description: Six3 antisense RNA
Source: RNAcentral
AAAAGGAUCACAGAUGCUGCUCGGGGCCAGCCCUAUACUCCCUCCAGUGCCUGGUCUCCGGUGGACCCGCGGGGCUCUGCAGUUCUCUGGCGGCCGCGCCUUGUAAGCGCUAAGCCGGGAGGAGGGCGCAGGCAGGGCGCACAGCUCUGAGCGCGACCCUACCCGGCUCGGGCCCGCAGCAACCCCGACUGUCCGAGAGCCUCUCCCCAAGCAAGGCUCUGCGCCGCCCUCUGAGCCCACCUCCUGGCCACAACGCUGCCUGCGCUUCUCCAGCCCAGGCCGGAAGCCCUAUGCUGCCUCCCGAAGCCGACUCAAGGACUGGGGACUUGGUGGAUCUAUGGCAUUGGUACCCACAGAGGUCACCUGCACAGAUAAAUCUGUCGCCACCCUUCAACCCUGGCCUACCGGAUCUGCGGGGAGAAAUGCAGCAUUUGAAUUGGGGAGUGUUCAGUCCUGCUCUGCGGGGCAUUUAUUUACAAAUAUCAGCUGCAACCCAGCCUUGAUAACGUCUCAUACAGUCAGAGGACUUUGCGGGAAGCACACUUCCUCCUUGUUUGGGGCUACAGGGAAAGCCCAGGAAAGCGAGUCCCAGAAGGCCUGGGACAGCUACACCCAGUUCACCCAUGCUCAACCCGGAACAGCCGACCCAAACGGUCAGGAAGGACUUUCUGGAAGCCCAUCUUCGUAUGCUCACCAGCCCACCCUCCUACGCUGGUCAGAGUGAGAUUGCUAACCUCAAGACCCCAUUCAAUGCCAGCUUUCAACUACUGCUGAAGACCAAUGUAGGUCCUGGAAUAGAAGAACUGCAGAGUGGGGCUGCGUAGAGGAUUCGGCAGUUUCUCGGCCACAAGGACGGAGUUUCCUAAGAAGGGAAAGAAGAGUGCGGGCAGAGAGGAGAGGUCCGAGGGGGAAAAGAGAGGCCUGAGGACGCUCUGGCGGCUCCAGUACCAAGCCUUGGUAUCUUUGGGAUUCUGGGGAGAGUGGAAGGGUUUACAAACUACACAUAAAUCGGUGAACUUGAACCACUGUGUAUCCCGAUUUUGCAUUGAGCCGGGCCCUGCGCACCCGGAAUGCUGAAGUGGCCAAGGGCAGAGAGGGGUGUAUUUGCAACUCGUGGUUUCUUCGGUUAAACAAACCCCAACCCGUAGCCUCAGCAACAACAACAAAAACUGCAAGUGCAGGAAGCAAAAUUAAACAUAAUUCCUUUUAUUUAUCUGUUGCAUUUAUAUCAUUAAAAUAUUUUUGGUUACGUUGUAUAGAAUAGCAUCCACUCUGAUUAUUACCUGCCAUAUCGGCUGUAUUCAACACAGCAAAAUUAACAAUUAAGAAAAUAAAGGCACAUCUUAUAUAUUG